RNAcentral lists this ribosomal RNA (429 nucleotides) under uncultured bacterium. Its description in RNAcentral is "bacterial SSU rRNA". It matches the Rfam family "Bacterial small subunit ribosomal RNA", at positions 28 to 478 of the family's 1533-position model. The record is from RNAcentral.
GAUGAACGCUGGCGGCGCGCCUAACACAUGCAAGUCGAACGGCACCCCUCUCCGGAGGGAAGCGAGUGGCGAACGGCUGAGUAACACGUGGAGAACCUGCCCCCUCCCCCGGGAUAGCCGCCCGAAAGGACGGGUAAUACCGGAUACCCCGGGGUGCCGCAUGGCACCCCGGCUAAAGCCCCGACGGGAGGGGAUGGCUCCGCGGCCCAUCAGGUAGACGGCGGGGUGACGGCCCACCGUGCCGACAACGGGUAGCCGGGUUGAGAGACCGACCGGCCAGAUUGGGACUGAGACACGGCCCAGACUCCUACGGGAGGCAGCAGUGGGGAAUCUUGCGCAAUGGGGGAAACCCUGAUGCAGCGACGCCGCGUGGAGGAAGAAGGUUUUCGGAUUGUAAACUCCUGUCGUUAGGGACGAUAAUGACGGUAC